Molecule: long non-coding RNA, 805 nt
Organism: Solea senegalensis (Senegalese sole)
Lineage: Eukaryota; Metazoa; Chordata; Actinopteri; Pleuronectiformes; Soleidae
Exons: 2
Source: RefSeq, a predicted model, not a curated record
CAAAAAGAUUCUAUUUUAUUUGUUUGAAAAUACACUUUUUGUUUGCAAUGAUUGGAAUUUUGAGUCGCUGUCCAUCUGGAACUUGUUCCCCAAGUUUUCUCUGUCAACAUUCAACAAAAUAAUUGUAAGUAUCUAAGGCUGGUUACCAAGCUUUAGUUCUUUAUGGUACCGACCGAAAUGCUUCGAUACUACCUGGUAUCGAAACGUGCCUUGUUUUUCAGGCCGAAGUUUCGAAACCUACGGAGUUAGUCACAUGAUCAAGAUCACAAGAUCUGAUAAUGCUGCUGGUGAUUGGCUGUAACAUUACAUGUGGUAGAAUACAAUGCGGUUACGCCCACAGACCACGUUCAUGUGUUUUCCGUGUUGUUAACUAUACAUACUGUAAGUGUGUUGUGACUUGUGAUGAAGGGGCUAAAAAUGCUUUGGAGGUCGAAAGUGAGGCUUCAUUUCAACAAAAGUAAUAUUAAUAUGGUGUGCAACACAAUAUUUGUAAAAUAGAUAUUGCCACUAAGGUCGGAAACACAACGUUUAACAAAGCACCCGAACGUGCACUGCAUCAACCUCAGAGCAGAAAGUUGCUCAGUAUUUGAAUGUAAGAAGAGCGAAGCGCAGCCAUCCACCUACUCUCAACCACAGCUGUACUGUGGAUGUUACAGAGCGGCCUGAUUUAAAAUCACCACCGGACUCUGCUUCAUCCAUGAGUACUGACAGCGCUGUGUCGAGGAUUUCAACAGUGACCUCUGACCCUGAUGUGAGGAGGCGCACAAGGCCAGUCAGUGUGAAUCUGUUCACACUGGCAGAAAAA